GGCCAUGACGAGUUUUGCUUUUUUUUCUGACCCCUCUUGUACGAGAGGUUUUUCUUUCCGUGAGCACAAAAAGAAACCAUCUGAGCU
This is a small nucleolar RNA of Elaeis guineensis (African oil palm), 87 nucleotides long. RefSeq annotates it as small nucleolar RNA snoR1. NCBI's taxonomy places the organism in Eukaryota, Viridiplantae, Streptophyta, Magnoliopsida, Arecales, Arecaceae. The record is from RefSeq and is a predicted model, not a curated record.